AUGAGUGUGGAGAAAGUUUCAUGCAAGAAAAGAGUCCAGUUCCGAAUGAUUUCUGCCAAUCUGAAUAAACAUAAGUUGUAUUUAUUUAUUGAACAUUAUUGCCAUUACAGGAAUGAAUUGCAAAAGCUUCUUAAAAGAAACUGUGGAAAGCAAUGGGCUCUGAGUCAUGACAUCAGAGGAAGGAGGAAGAGCUAGCCAUCCCAAAGUACUGAAUACAGUAGAAAUGGCUGGAAAAAGUCCAUCAGAACCUAUAGAAGACUGUGGAUGACAAAAGAAUUUAAGUUGCCAUGUUUAAAAUAAUAAACUCAUUACCCAACAAGAGGUACUUGCUUAC
RNAcentral lists this long non-coding RNA (334 nucleotides) under Oryctolagus cuniculus (rabbit). RNAcentral's name for it is "lncRNA (ENSOCUG00000036298.1)". Lineage: Eukaryota; Metazoa; Chordata; Mammalia; Lagomorpha; Leporidae. The record is from RNAcentral.